AGGAGAAUCGCUUGAACCCAGGAGGUGGAGAUUGCAGUGAGCUGAGAUUGCACCACUGCACUCCAGCCUGAGUGACAGAGUGAGACCCCGUUUUAAAAAACAAAACAAGGCCAGGUACGGUGGCUCACGCCUGUAAUCCCAGCAUUUUGGGAGGCCGAGGCAGGUGGAUCACAAGGUCAGGAGAUCGAGACCAUCCUGGCUAACACGGUGAAACCCUGUGUCUACUAAAAAUACAAAGAAUUAUCCGAGCAUGGUGGUGGACGCCUGUGGUCCCAGCUACUCCGGAGGCUGAGGUGGGAGAAUGGCGUGAACCCAGGAGGUGGAGCUUGCAGUGAGCUGAGAUUGCGCCACAGCACUCCACCCUGGGCGACAGAGCGAGACUCCAUCUCAAAAAAAAAAAAAAAAAAAAAAGAAAAGAAGAAAAGAAAACGAAGAAAAACCACAAAUAAAUAAAAGUUGAGGUAUGAUAUAUGCACAGCUGCAUUCGCCCCUUUGAGGGCACAGUUGUGUGAGUUUAGACAAAUGCAAAUGUUCAUGGAACCACUGCAAGUGCGACAGAGCAGCUCUGGUGCCCACAAAGCUUCCUCAAGGUCCCUUGCGGUCAGUCACUGCCCGCACCUCAGCCGUCAGAGCCACUGGGAAGCCCCCUGCCCUGUGGGCUCACCUGUCCUAGAACGUCUUAUAAAAGGAGUCGCAGAUCGCAGCCUUUUCCACCUGGCUUCUGUCCCUCUGCAGGGUGCACCUGGGAUUCAGCCACCUUCGUUCCUUUUACCCCUGAGUGUCCAUCACGUGCUGCUCAUGCAGAAGUGCUCAAGUUCGCUGUAAACAUAGUUUUCAUUUCUCCCGGGUGGAGACCUCCAUAAGUAGAGGGUGAUAGCUCUGCUGACUCCCGGCCCUCACAGGCUCUAGGGAUUGAGCCUGUUUCUGUGGAACGCCUUCCGUGGUCUGCGAGGUGCACAGAGGGGUCGCAAAAAGCUUCCAGGUUGCACCUUCCCAUGGACUGAUGCUGAGCGUGUUCUCAUCUCCCAUCCGGAUGUUUUCUUUGGUUGGAGUGCAACGGCGCGAUCUUGGCUCACUGCAACCUCCCCCCACCCACCUCACUUCGGGUUCAAGCGAUUCUCCUGCCUCAGCCUCCUGAGUAGCUGGGACUCCAGGC
This 1156-nucleotide long non-coding RNA is filed under the name Pan troglodytes (chimpanzee). RNAcentral describes it as "long non-coding RNA NONPTRT018008". Lineage: Eukaryota; Metazoa; Chordata; Mammalia; Primates; Hominidae. The record is from RNAcentral.